AUUUAGCCCUCCAUAUCCCAGGCUCUGGGGCUCAGGGUUCAGGCUACCAGCAGGACUGGGGUGCACACGCAUGCACUCCAUCCAGAGAACGCAAAAUUUGAGUCAAAUUUCACUUUCAACUCAGGAAAGUCAAGGGAGCCAGUCACAAGGUGUCCUCAGCAGAACAAAGGCCUCCAGAGAUGUUCACACGCUGAUCUCAGGAGCUUAUCUGAGAAGAGUGUCCAUGAGGGAAAGGAUGGGCAGCUACAGAAGCUUGUUGGUAAUGGUCCAGCUGAAUGUUCUAAGGCAACGGGCAGUUUGCAGGGGAUGGACACAAGGAGAACUUGACCCUGUUUGCAAGUUUCCGGGGAAGGAGCUACGAGGACUCUGAGCCCUAAAGCUUCAGGUCAAGGGAACCAGCUGGCUACUCUGUGGACGGAUUAGCAGAGCCUUGGCGCUCGCCUGCUCCCCUUAGAAUCCCCAUCUCUAUCUUCCCUGUCAGGGCUAUCACAGAUGAAGCUGCCCUGACUGUUUCUGUAGGAGUCUUUGAAUACAUACGUUUUCUCUUCUCUUGAAUAAAUACGUUUUCAUUUCAUUUGGGAGUGGAGUGAUGGGUCAUCUGGCAGAAGGAUGUUUAACUUCUUAGGAAACGAACCAGCUGUUUUCUGAAGAGGCUGUGCCAUUUUUUCAUUCCCACCAGCAACAUCUGAGCUUUCCAGUCCCUUAAUAUCCACUCCAAUAGUCAUCUUGAGAGGUGCGUGGGGUUACCUCGGGAUGGUUUUAAUUUACACACAUUUCCCUGCUGGCUAAUGAUGGUGAACAUCUCUUCAUGAGCUGCUUGCUAGCUGUACAUCUUCUUCUGUGACAUGUGUGUCUUCAAAUCUAUUGUCCAUUAAAAGAAAUGUAUCAU
This 889-nucleotide long non-coding RNA is filed under the name Capra hircus (goat). RNAcentral's name for it is "lncRNA (ENSCHIG00000005512.1)". Lineage: Eukaryota; Metazoa; Chordata; Mammalia; Artiodactyla; Bovidae. The record is from RNAcentral.